Molecule: non-coding RNA, 75 nt
Organism: Myotis lucifugus (little brown bat)
Lineage: Eukaryota; Metazoa; Chordata; Mammalia; Chiroptera; Vespertilionidae
Source: Rfam
GGAGGUUCUCAGGUGAUGCACCCCGGAAUCGGGCUCCCUCCUCUCUGGUUCUGGGUGUGUCACCCAAGAACCGCA